Molecule: ribosomal RNA, 450 nt
Filed under: uncultured bacterium
Lineage: Bacteria
Description: partial 16S ribosomal RNA
Rfam family: Bacterial small subunit ribosomal RNA
Source: RNAcentral
GUGGGGAAUCUUCGGCAAUGGGGGGAACCCUGACCGAGCAACGCCGCGUGAGUGAAGAAGGUUUUCGGAUCGUAAAGCUCUGUUGUAAGAGAAGAACGUGUGUGAGAGUGGAAAGUUCACACAGUGACGGUAACUUACCAGAAAGGGACGGCUAACUACGUGCCAGCAGCCGCGGUAAUACGUAGGUCCCGAGCGUUGUCCGGAUUUAUUGGGCGUAAAGCGAGCGCAGGCGGUUUGAUAAGUCUGAAGUAAAAGGCUGUGGCUUAACCAUAGUAUGCUUUGGCAACUGUCAAACUUGAGUGCAGAAGGGGAGAGUGGAAUUCCAUGUGUAGCGGUGAAAUGCGUAGAUAUAUGGAGGAACACCGGUGGCGAAAGCGGCUCUCUGGUCUGUAACUGACGCUGAGGCUCGAAAGCGUGGGGAGCAAACAGGAUUAGAUACCCUUGUAGUCC